AGGCUAAUGGAGCACCCACAGGGUCAUACAUCUCUAAAAACCACCAUUACUGCACAAGGUGAGUAACUCUCUUCUUCAAAUGGUGCCCACGUGGGUGCUCCACUGUGGGUGAGUAUAAAGUAGUGGUCAAAUCAUGGAAGCGAGUUUGGAGCCCUGCCACGGUCACCGAGUAUAGCACCGCCUGAGUGACAGCCAUAGAUGAUGUAAUAGAGGAUGCAAGAGUGUAAUGCUUUGCAAAUGUGUGGUCUGAUGAUCAAGUGGCUGCUUUGCAGAUAUCCUGGUGAGGUACCUUUUUGAGCAAGGUGGCUGUAGAGGCCAUGGCCCUAGUCGAAUGGGCACUGAUGGUGUCUGGUGGCUUUUUGUUGUGGAUGGUGUAAUGUGUGGAUAUAUGAAGAAAUCCACUUUGAAAUCCUCUGAGAGGAGACAGCUUGUCCUUUGGAACGCUUAAUGAAGGAAAGGAAGAGUCUGGGAGAUAUUCUCCAGGAUUUUGUGCGAUCAAUGUAGAAAGCAAGAUUCCUGCGGACAUCGAGGGUGUGCCAUGCAUCCUGAGAUGGAUCGGCGUGCAGGUUGGGGAAGAACACAGGGAAGUGAAUGGGUUCAUUAAUGUGGAAAGGAAAGGGGACCUUUGGGAGGAAUUUAGGGUGGGGCCGAAGCACCACUCUGUCCUUACUGAAAAUUGUAUAACGAGGGUCAGCCAUUAGUGCAUCAAGCUCCCCAACUCUCUUGCUGCAGAUUACUGCAACCAGAAAAGCAAGAUUGGUGACUGGGUUAGAGAGGAAAGAGUUGCCAUCAGUGGUGCGACAAAAGGCUGCUAUGGCUGCUGCAUGUACUUUGAUCGUAUUGAAAGACAGGCCAGACUCCCUUAGAUGCAACAGGUAGUCCAAUAUGAGGCGAGCAGGGGGUAGUUUCAGGAGUCAUGGGGUGGUUAUGUUUGAGCCACUUGGAGAAUCUAGUCUAUUUGUAAAGGUAAUUUUUUCUGGUGGACUCUCUCCUGCUGUUGAUUAAUAUUGGUUUUACUCGUUCUGAACAGUAUUUUUGGCAUCUUGGAGCCAUGAAGGAACCAUCCAUGGAGGUAGAGUUUGUGUAGUUCAGGACGGAGAAUUCUGCCACGAUGCUGAGAAAAGAUUGUGUUGAAGGGGAAAGGUAUAUGGAUCUGCUACUGUCACUCUGUGGAGGAACAGCACUGCACAGAGAAAUUUGCUGAUGAGUGACAAGCUUCUUGCAGCCUGUUCACAGGCACAUUUCCACACAGGCCAAAGACAACCUGGGACAACUUGUGCAGACUAAGACAGAGUAACAGUUCUCCAGUACCACACUGGGUGGUUGGGAGCGGGGCAGAGCACUAUCUGCUGCCAGAAGUAACCAGCUGCCAGUGUCCCACAGACACAGGAAUUCCUCAUGGGCAUGGAUGCUCCUGAGCCCAGCCACUUCCUCCUGUAGUUCUCUCACCUGCUUCCUGAGACAUUCCACCAGCAGGGAUGGUUCUCCCUGCCUGAUUUUCUGCAAUAAAGAAGCAAAUGAAUCAAGCACAAACUUCACCUCAUUUUCUUGUGUAUGUACUCAACCCCAAUUAUAAAGGUGGAUGCCUAACUUUUGAAGAUGCCGCUACUGCCAUGGCAUGGACAUCUCAGAAUCAAUCCUCGAGAACGGAAGUCAUAAUACAUUUUUGGACUGGAAUGAAACCAUUUAAUUAAUACAUGUUUGCUGAUGAUGUUUUGAACGAAGUCACUCCCCUGAAUUGGUGGAAAUCAUUGGCCAGGCACCAUGAAACAGAGUUCCUUCAGUUGCUAAGCCAACUUUUCACAGCAGUAGCUUCCUCUGCAGGCACAGAGAAAAUAUUUUCAUCAUUUGGUAUUAUUCACUCAAAUCUAAAAUCAACUGGGAGCUGAAAAAGCAGGAAAACUCGUAUUUCUGUUUCAGUCUAUGAAUAAAAAUGACAGUGAAAGUGAGGAAGAUGAGAGCUAGUUAUAGACAUUUUAACACCACCAUACAUUUAGUGUUAUGAUAACUUGUCAGAAUUAAUAAAAUUUUCAAAUUUUAAAAGGGUUUAAGGUUGGUUGAAGGUUAAAGUUGUCAACCGGCAAAUCAAGAGACUGCUGCAACUGCAAAUGUGAAACAUGUAUAUAACAUUUAAAUUCUGUUUAAUAAGUGCUAUUGUGUAUGAGCGUGUAAUUCAGUUAACAUUCCCAAUAUGCCGCUGCAUCUCCAGCAUAAUACUCCACUUGAGUAUUAUGUACUAGUUCUAAAAUAAAUAAAAAUCAUGUUAUCUAAAAAAAGUUACACAAUACACACCCCUCAAUGUUGUAAAUUGCUGUAAAUGUUGUAAAUAAACAUAUUGUA
Pelodiscus sinensis (Chinese soft-shelled turtle) is the source of this 2340-nucleotide non-coding RNA. NCBI's taxonomy places the organism in Eukaryota, Metazoa, Chordata, Testudines, Trionychidae. The record is from RefSeq and is a predicted model, not a curated record.